This is a long non-coding RNA of Polyodon spathula (Mississippi paddlefish), 260 nucleotides long. RefSeq lists it as uncharacterized. NCBI's taxonomy places the organism in Eukaryota, Metazoa, Chordata, Actinopteri, Acipenseriformes, Polyodontidae. The record is from RefSeq and is a predicted model, not a curated record. The transcript has 3 exons.
CUUCAAAUUUCCUGUGACUGGCUGUGGGACACGUGUCUUUACUGUGGCGGAGACUACAAUCUAUCUUGCUGAAGUUCGUGGUUUGGUUCGGGGGAUCCAGCAGAUGUAUGGACAAAUUACCAGAGAUGGCCCUUAUCGUUUCCAUGUGGAAUGUCGCUAUUCUAAAGGAAACUUGGCCAGCAUGGGUUACUUGGUGGUGAACCCAUCGCCUCCAUCAGCAGCCUUGGCUUUUGGCUGGCUUGGGGUUAGGUUAAGGAUUG